GGAGGCGGACGCGAGUAGCUCGGCAGGGGGACUCGCUUGGCUUUCGUGCCAUCCGUGGACACAGUCGCGCGGGUCUUUGUGGGAAGAAACAAAUCACAAAAGCAAUUAAGAGAGCUCAAACAAUGGGGUUUAUGCCAGUUACAUACAAGGAUCCUGCAUAUUUCAGGGACCCUAAAGUUUAUAACAUCAGAUAUCCGGAAUAAAUUCCAUCACAUUACCACCAGUAAACUUAUUUUAUAAGAUGGGUCUCACUGUGUUGCCCAGGCUGGUCUCUAACUCCUGGCCUCAAUCAUUCCUGCCUUGUCUUCCCUAAGUGCUGGGAUUACAGCUGUGAGCCACUGUGCCUGGCCUCACUUUUCCAAUUCUAAAGAAUGUGUGUAAGCCUUUCCCUCAACAACUUAUUGAAAGGCGAAAAAAGGUUUGGAAAUAAAAGGAUCUGAUGUUUGAAAAA
This is a long non-coding RNA of Homo sapiens (human), 451 nucleotides long. Ensembl annotates it as ASAH1 antisense RNA 1. Its record names the gene ASAH1-AS1. NCBI's taxonomy places the organism in Eukaryota, Metazoa, Chordata, Mammalia, Primates, Hominidae. The record is from Ensembl.